RNAcentral lists this ribosomal RNA (534 nucleotides) under marine sediment metagenome. RNAcentral describes it as "SSU rRNA". It matches the Rfam family "Bacterial small subunit ribosomal RNA", at positions 8 to 505 of the family's 1533-position model. The record is from RNAcentral.
AGAGUUUGAUCCUGGCUCAGGAAGAACGCUAGCGGUGUGCCUAAUACAUGCAAGUCGAACGGUUCUUUCUUUGAUGAAGCUUCGGCAGAUUCGUUGAAAGAAUAGUGGCGAACGGGUGAGUAAUGCAUGAGUAAUCUGCCCUAAAGACCGGGAUAAGCUUUCGAAAGGAAGUCUAAUACCGGAUAAUAAAAUCAGAUCGCAUGAUUUGAUUUUCAAAGGUAGCUUUUUAAGCCUCUGCUUUUGGAUGAGCUCAUGUCCUAUCAGCUAGUUGGUGAGGUAAAGGCUCACCAAAGCUAAGACGGGUAGCCGGUCUGAGAGGACGGUCGGCCACACUGGGACUGAGACACGGCCCAGACUCCUACGGGAGGCAGCAGUAGGGAAUCUUGCGCAAUGGGCGAAAGCCUGACGCAGCGACACCGCGUGGAGGAUGAAGGUUUUCGAAUCGUAAACUCCUGUCAAUAGAGGAAGAAGGUAUUAUAGGUGAAUAGCUUAUAAUAUUGACGGUACUUUGUAAGGAAGCCCCGGCUAACUACG